GAUGAACGCUGGCGGCGUGCCUAAUACAUGCAAGUCGAGCGAACUUUUGGGAGCUUGCUCCCACAAGUUAGCGGCGGACGGGUGAGUAACACGUGGGUAACCUGCCUGUAAGACUGGGAUAACUUCGGGAAACCGGAGAUAAUACCGGAUAACAUUGAAGACAACAUGGCCUUCAAUUAAAAGGUGGCUUUUAGCUACCACUUAUAGAUGGACCCGCGGCGCAUUAGCUAGUUGGUGAGGUAACGGCUCACCAAGGCGACGAUGCGUAGCCGACCUGAGAGGGGGAGCGGCCACACUGGGACUGGGACACGGCCCAGACUCCUACGGGAGGCAGCAGGAGGGAAUCUUCCGCAAUGGACGAAAGUCUGACGGGGCAACGCCGCGGGAGCGAAGGAGGCCUUCGGGUCGUAAAGCUCUGUUGUUAGGGAAGAACAAGUAUCGUUCGAAUAGGGCGGUAUCUUGACGGUACCUAACCAGAAAGCCACGGCUAACUACGUG
RNAcentral lists this ribosomal RNA (498 nucleotides) under uncultured bacterium. RNAcentral's name for it is "partial 16S ribosomal RNA". It matches the Rfam family "Bacterial small subunit ribosomal RNA", at positions 28 to 507 of the family's 1533-position model. The record is from RNAcentral.